GCGGAGUACGCAUGCUCGCAGGAUGGCUACCGAGCUGUAGGCACCCGGGCGCGCGCUCUGGCUUGAACUCCGCGCCUGAGGCUUGGGCGUUGGUGGCCGUCGGAGGAGCUGCGGUGCGCCGCUGGGCACUGGACUCUCUGUACCGUCUGGCUUUCGGGUUUUGAGGCCUAGAUUUGCACCCCAAACAAGGCCCCAGUCUGCUGCACCUUCUGGGGGCCCCAGGCCUUGGAGGAGAAGCUUUAUGUCUUCAGCCUGGUGAGCUAGGCUGAGCAUGAACUGAGGACAGAGGCCCGCAUGCACUUGGGGAGCCCACAGCCCCGGAGAGCGGCUAAGGAUCCCUGAUCGUGAGUGGGCCUCCUGUUGUGGAUCCCUUUUGAGCAGAUCUCAGCUUUCUGGAGGCAUGAAGAUCGGACCAGUGUGGGGUUCUGCUUCCCCAGGGUCUGGAGGACUGGCCUCUCGGAAGGCCUGAGGAAGGCCCUACCUCAGAGGGUCUCUCUGAGGCCUUAAGACCCUGAGGCCGCACCCCAAGAGCCCAAGUUCAUACUUGGGCCUGCAGGGAAGAACACCCCUCCCAAGGCCUUUUACAUCCGGAUUUGAAUUCCCUGGAUCAGGUGCUGUGAAGGGACUGUAUGGACAGAGCGUGUGCUGCAGGGGAAGCCCAGAAGUCUCUCUGGCUGCCCAGGGCCAAGGCUCAGAGAAUUGGAGGUGGAGAUGACUAUGGGCCAGAAGCCGCCAAAAAUCACAUUCCAGACUAAAAAAGAUCUCAAGAUAACAAACAGGCAGGAAAUAGCAUCAUCACACAAGCUUCUGCCUUCCUUCAUUGUCACCUAAGAUGCCGACAUCAGAGCCCAGGGGUCCUGUGGAAUCCGAAGAACAGAUGGAGUGUGGAUGACGAGGGUCAGUCCUGCCAGCAGGAGAGGACAGGAAGCCAGCUUCCCAGAGCCACAGCUCAUGCCUCCAGGAAAACACAGCAGAGGUCAAGAGCAGGCAAAGGAGCAUCUCACUUCAUUCAAACUGUAGCUUUGACCCCAUCUUGCAACAGGGAACUUGGUCACUAAAUUGGAGAGGCCCCUCCUUGCCUCCAGCUAGGACCUCGAGUCAGUGGAGAUCAGCAGACAGCGGUCCCAUGAAGGCUGACACCUGGCAGCGCUCUGACUCUGACCCUCCAGGGUGAGGGAGGCCGGCCCACGCGAUCUGAAUUUGAUCCCGUGCAGAAAGGAGCACUGUCGCAGGGCAGAGCAGCACCCAGUGUGCGGGCUCUGGCCAUCCUCCCUCCCAGCUUGCUGGAUCAAUCCAGACAGACAGAUUUGCCCUGUGACAGGCUUAUUUAUAAUGCUCCACCCGGUAGAAAUGGGGCCCAGAGAUGUCCUUGAUUCUAUAGCCAUCUGUGUCAGCUGGCCGCCCCUCUGGGAGGAGAGCCGGGGGCUGCAUUCCCGAGGGUCCAAUUUCCCACACAUUCAGUCAUGAAUGUUAGGGUUUUGCCUUAUCACUUUACCCCCUGUAGUAUUAUUUACUGUAUAUGUUUCUGUAAGAUGAUUUACUAUUUGCUUAAUAAAUUUGUCUUAAAAGAA
Long non-coding RNA from Suricata suricatta (meerkat), 1571 nucleotides. RefSeq lists it as uncharacterized. The record is from RefSeq and is a predicted model, not a curated record. The transcript is spliced from 2 exons. NCBI's taxonomy places the organism in Eukaryota, Metazoa, Chordata, Mammalia, Carnivora, Herpestidae.